UCCUGGGAAUUCUGUGCACGGAAGCUGAUUUCAGUUGGUGCUAGAUGGAAGUCGGCGUUCUAGCACCAUAUGAAAUCAGUUAUCGGUGCUCAGGC
Molecule: microRNA precursor, 95 nt
Filed under: Branchiostoma belcheri (Belcher's lancelet)
Lineage: Eukaryota; Metazoa; Chordata; Leptocardii; Amphioxiformes; Branchiostomatidae
Description: microRNA bbe-mir-29a precursor
Gene: bbe-mir-29a
Rfam family: mir-29 microRNA precursor family (bases 20-85)
About the family: This family represents the microRNA (miRNA) precursors mir-29. Animal miRNAs are transcribed as ~70nt precursors and subsequently processed by the Dicer enzyme to give a ~22nt product.
Source: miRBase by way of RNAcentral